RNAcentral lists this long non-coding RNA (320 nucleotides) under Setaria viridis. RNAcentral's name for it is "long non-coding RNA (SVIR_LNC005729)". Lineage: Eukaryota; Viridiplantae; Streptophyta; Magnoliopsida; Poales; Poaceae. The record is from RNAcentral.
UCUAAUCUCAAAACUUAUUUCCUAUGACUUAAUAAUGAUCUGUGGAUAAUAAAGCAUUAUUCAAGUUUUAUACAUUUAAUAAAGCUUAAGCAUUUAUUUAAAUGCCUUAAACAAAAGGUAUUAAAUAAAUACCUAAAUUUUUAUUAUUUUUCCUAGGUUUAAGAAUUUUAAUGCAUAAAGAAAAAUAAAACAAUCCUAAUAAAAUUAGUUUCACUAAUUUUGGACACUCCUAGAAAUUUCUGUGAUUUAAAUGGUGAAAAAUGAAUUUACAGUAAUUAUCUAAUAAAAGUAAAACUUAAGAUAUAUCCUAAAACCCCGGC